This 1176-nucleotide ribosomal RNA is filed under the name Salmonella enterica subsp. enterica serovar Enteritidis. RNAcentral describes it as "bacterial SSU rRNA". It matches the Rfam family "Bacterial small subunit ribosomal RNA", at positions 1 to 1167 of the family's 1533-position model. Lineage: Bacteria; Pseudomonadati; Pseudomonadota; Gammaproteobacteria; Enterobacterales; Enterobacteriaceae. The record is from RNAcentral.
AAAUUGAAGAGUUUGAUCAUGGCUCAGAUUGAACGCUGGCGGCAGGCCUAACACAUGCAAGUCGAACGGUAACAGGAAGCAGCUUGCUGCUUUGCUGACGAGUGGCGGACGGGUGAGUAAUGUCUGGGAAACUGCCUGAUGGAGGGGGAUAACUACUGGAAACGGUGGCUAAUACCGCAUAACGUCGCAAGACCAAAGAGGGGGACCUUCGGGCCUCUUGCCAUCAGAUGUGCCCAGAUGGGAUUAGCUUGUUGGUGAGGUAACGGCUCACCAAGGCGACGAUCCCUAGCUGGUCUGAGAGGAUGACCAGCCACACUGGAACUGAGACACGGUCCAGACUCCUACGGGAGGCAGCAGUGGGGAAUAUUGCACAAUGGGCGCAAGCCUGAUGCAGCCAUGCCGCGUGUAUGAAGAAGGCCUUCGGGUUGUAAAGUACUUUCAGCGGGGAGGAAGGUGUUGUGGUUAAUAACCGCAGCAAUUGACGUUACCCGCAGAAGAAGCACCGGCUAACUCCGUGCCAGCAGCCGCGGUAAUACGGAGGGUGCAAGCGUUAAUCGGAAUUACUGGGCGUAAAGCGCACGCAGGCGGUCUGUCAAGUCGGAUGUGAAAUCCCCGGGCUCAACCUGGGAACUGCAUUCGAAACUGGCAGGCUUGAGUCUUGUAGAGGGGGGUAGAAUUCCAGGUGUAGCGGUGAAAUGCGUAGAGAUCUGGAGGAAUACCGGUGGCGAAGGCGGCCCCCUGGACAAAGACUGACGCUCAGGUGCGAAAGCGUGGGGAGCAAACAGGAUUAGAUACCCUGGUAGUCCACGCCGUAAACGAUGUCUACUUGGAGGUUGUGCCCUUGAGGCGUGGCUUCCGGAGCUAACGCGUUAAGUAGACCGCCUGGGGAGUACGGCCGCAAGGUUAAAACUCAAAUGAAUUGACGGGGGCCCGCACAAGCGGUGGAGCAUGUGGUUUAAUUCGAUGCAACGCGAAGAACCUUACCUGGUCUUGACAUCCACAGAAGAAUCCAGAGAUGGAUUUGUGCCUUCGGGAACUGUGAGACAGGUGCUGCAUGGCUGUCGUCAGCUCGUGUUGUGAAAUGUUGGGUUAAGUCCCGCAACGAGCGCAACCCUUAUCCUUUGUUGCCAGCGGUUAGGCCGGGAACUCAAAGGAGACUGCCAGUGAUAAACUGGA